Molecule: long non-coding RNA, 1010 nt
Filed under: Bos indicus x Bos taurus (hybrid cattle)
Lineage: Eukaryota; Metazoa; Chordata; Mammalia; Artiodactyla; Bovidae
Description: lncRNA (ENSBIXG00000009414.1)
Source: RNAcentral
UCUCAAGGCUGUAAUUGUCCAAAAGCUUUCUAUGUGAAAAAAAAGGAUGUAUAUUAGUCAUAUGAAAUCUUUGAGCUAUAGGAUCUUUCUUAAUUUCUAAAUGAACCUUUUCCAGUUUAAGUAAUUUGCAGGGGCAAGGGGCAUGGAUUGUCACCUUUUCCAUUUUUUUCCUCAGAAGGAAUUGCUCUUUUUCCCUUUAGAAGGAAAUGAGUAGACAGAACAAAUACAGAAGACCCCAAAUAUCGAAAUCAGUAGUUUUAAAUUACAUAGAGUCAAACUUCUUAAGAUAUAAUUCUACCUGUAUUGCUGAAAAUAGAGCUGAGAAAUCUUUAGUUCUUGGCUUUUUUCCCAUUUUUGUAAGCAUUGUUAUCACUUCCUCUAUUGUGAAGUGUCUAUUAUGCAAUCCUGUUGGGAAUAGCUUUUCCUUCACGAGCAGCUCAUCAUGCUGUCAGCACAGAGCUCCCUGGAGACCACAGCAAGACUCCAAAGGGGAGCAUGGGGAGGAAAAAAGGCCCAUUUCCCCCAAGGAAGCAAGAGAAGAUGGAAAUAAUUAGAACUUAAUUUGGAUGCCAGAGUUCCAGAUUUCAGAUUGGAACGUCAUGCCUGUCCUUCAGUAUGAACACCUGGAAGAGUGCAUAAGAGGGAUAUGCGCCCAGGCAGGCUCAAUUUCUACUUGCAGUCAUGAUGUGAAUCAAACGUUACUGCAGGCCCAGCAUGGACCCAGAUUAUGUCACCCCCAGAGUGUCCACUGUGAUGAUCCAGAAGAUACUAGUAGUUUCUGGACUAGACACCACAGCAUUGGAGGAAAAACAGCCUUCAGCCCAAAGAAAAUUAUAUUGAGAGAAGACAUCGAAAGCCUUUUGAAGAAAAACUCAGAUUGCACAUGGGAUUGGUCAGGUUGGUUUGAAAAUGUCUCCCUGCCCCCGCAAAAGACUGCCUCUAAACAUUUUUUAAACAUAAUCCAAAGCACACAGCCUCUCCCAGCAGGAGGAACAUGUGUGUUAGGAUGA